This 253-nucleotide ribosomal RNA is filed under the name uncultured bacterium. RNAcentral's name for it is "partial 16S ribosomal RNA". It matches the Rfam family "Bacterial small subunit ribosomal RNA", at positions 524 to 776 of the family's 1533-position model. The record is from RNAcentral.
UACGGAGGGUGCAAACGUUGCUCGGAAUCAUUGGGCGUAAAGCGCACGUAGGCGGCUCGUUAAGUCGGAUGUGAAAGCCCUCGGCUCAACCGAGGAAGUGCAUACGAAACUGGCGAGCUUGAAUAUGGAAGAGGGUCGCGGAAUUCCCGGUGUAGAGGUGAAAUUCGUAGAUAUCGGGAAGAACACCAGUGGCGAAGGCGCCUUGCCGGGCCAUCACUGACGCUCAGGGACGAAAGCGUGGGUAGCGAACGGG